This 90-nucleotide non-coding RNA is filed under the name Pseudomonas migulae. Lineage: Bacteria; Pseudomonadati; Pseudomonadota; Gammaproteobacteria; Pseudomonadales; Pseudomonadaceae. RNAcentral also lists the same sequence under 1 other name. The record is from RNAcentral.
UGUGGGAGCGGGCUUGCUCGCGAAGGCGUCAUGUCAGUCAACAACAAUGUUGACUGAUCAACCGCUUUCGCGAGCAAGCCCGCUCCCACA